UGGGGAAUUUUGCGCAAUGGGGGCAACCCUGACGCAGCAACGCCGCGUGCGGGACGACGGCCUUCGGGUUGUAAACCGCUUUCAGCAGGGAAGAACCUCUGACGGUACCUGCAGAAGAAGCCCCGGCUAACUACGUGCCAGCAGCCGCGGUAAUACGUAGGGGGCGAGCGUUAUCCGGAAUGAUUGGGCGUAAAGCGCGCGCAGGCGGCCGCUCAAGCGGGACCUCUAACCCCGGGGCUCAACCCCGGGCCGGGUCCCGAACUGGGCGGCUCGAGUGCGGUAGGGGAGAGCGGAAUUCCAAGUGUAGCGGUGAAAUGCGCAGAUAUUUGGAAGAACACCGAUGGCGAAGGCAGCUCUCUGGGCCGUCACUGACGCUGAGGCGCGAAAGCCGGGGGAGCGAACAGGAUUAGAUACCCUGGUAGU
RNAcentral lists this ribosomal RNA (423 nucleotides) under uncultured Coriobacteriaceae bacterium. Its description in RNAcentral is "bacterial SSU rRNA". It matches the Rfam family "Bacterial small subunit ribosomal RNA", at positions 355 to 794 of the family's 1533-position model. The record is from RNAcentral. Lineage: Bacteria; Bacillati; Actinomycetota; Coriobacteriia; Coriobacteriales; Coriobacteriaceae.